AUGCAACCACCUCCCUCCCUCACCCUCUCCUCAUCCGGCGACGGCGGCAGCGGAUCAGCGGCGCCGGCUGUGGCAUCCGUGGCGGUGGUGGACGGCGCGGCCGCGGCGCUCCGUUCGACCUUGCAUCAUAUUUUUAUUGUGUAUGUGGGCAGUGUGUUCAAGUUGAUCUGGAACAAUUUGAAGGGUUUCCUCGACACAAAAUCUUCAGCCAAGGCCGCUCCGGCCGCGGCGGCCACCAAAUCCGGCCAUUAUGGCCGCCAGCUGCGCCUCCAACCUCCCCUUCCCGCCACGUUGGAGCCUCUCGCCGCCCGCUGGAGCCUCGCUUUGACCCGGUGGUUCCUCGCAGCCCCCCUCCCCGUGGUCAGCGGCCUCGACGGCUGCGGCGUCAGAUCCAGCUUCUACGCCGCGAAUCCUGCAGCGCAGCGGUCCCUCCAAGAGCUCCGGUCCGCGACCGCGUCGUCUUCCCGCCUCCGCCUCCGCCCCCCUGCUCCCAUGGCUAGCCUUGCCCUCUACGACCCAGCUCGGCGGCCGCGCGAGAGCCGCAAGGUCGUGGUGGCCUCUCCAGCGCUGGAGCUUGAGGAGCACGUCCUGCGCCGGCACGCGGUCACCCUGACCGCCGAGGACCGCUCGCACUCCACCACCCCCGCGGCGGUGGGCAAGGUCAUCCUCGAGCAGCUCUCCACCCCUCCGUACCUGCUCCGCGUCACGGCCCACCAACCCGAAGCCUUCCUCAUCCACUUCGACCUCCUUGCUCACCGAGACAACGCCAUGCGCUAUGGCGUCAUCAAGGCCUUCGGCGACAUCGGCCGCGUCGACAGGCUCGAUUUGCGCACCCUGGAGAGGGGGCACACCAGGACCUUCGCGUUCUGGCUCUGGGUUUGGGACGUUGCCCACAUCCCCACCAGGCGCGCGCUCUGGGUGCUCAAGCGGGGUGCGGGUCGGGCGGAUGAGAUCAUCGGCCUCGCCCCCGCGGAUCGCCGCAUCCCCCCGCGUCCCGGCGUCCGGCGCUACGACCUGCUGCUACAUGUCGACCUACUGGAGGAUUGGUCACCUCUCUCGCCACGCUCGUCUCACUUCGGCCAGAGCGGGCUGCCCUCCUCGGAUGAAGAUGACGACCGCCCUUUCCCGUGCAUCGAGCCCGGCACUUGGGUGCCCCAUGUUGAAGACGGGCAGGGCAGGGCCUGCAACAGGGCGCCGCGCGUCGGGGCCGGGGGCUGCGGCCCUGUGCUCGGUGGGGGCGCCCGCGACCACGAGGAGGACGACGGUGGAGGCGAUCGCCCGCCGGUCGCCGCCACUCGGCUGGCUGUCAUGGCCGCCCUGCCGCUGGGAGGGCCUCCGGCGCUCCAGGUGUGCGCGCCACCCCGCCACUCCCCCUCCGCUCGCCCCCCCGCGACGGAGGUCGACCCGGUGGCCCAGUUUUUCUCCUUCUCCGACAACGGCCACGCCCUAUCUUCGCCCCCGCGCACGGACUGCAUGCAACUGGAGAUGGAGAACGCCAUUCAGGACGCGCUCGUCACCCCGCUGGCUUUCGAAGACGGUGGCCGCUCGCCUUCUCCGCCCACCGCCAAGCCCGCCGAGCUGGAGAGCCUGGAGAUGCUGCCGUGCCUGCUGCCCUGCAUCGCCUCCCCUGCAGCACCAACGGUGGGCUUCCAGAUGGACGCGGUCAUCCAGCAGGUGGGCUCCAUGCAAAUCGGUGACAGUCAGGCGCAAGCAGCCGAGCUGUUUGCUGCGGUCCCGCCUCCGAUCCUCGCUAGCCAGCCUCCCCGUCCACGCCACUCCGCCCCGCCCAAGUCAAGGGCUACCUCCGCCCCCUCCCGUCGCAGUGCUCGACAGGCAGUAGCUGGCAACUCCACCCCGGUGACGCAGAGGGCGGUUCUGCACCUAGUCCAGGAGCUAGGUGAGCUCGGCCCCAUGGACAAGAUGACUUCGAAAGCGGCCGCGCAGAUCAUGAAGCAUUUCCAGGAGCCCCUCCGACGGUGA
RNAcentral lists this ribosomal RNA (1980 nucleotides) under Triticum aestivum (bread wheat). Its description in RNAcentral is "partial small subunit ribosomal RNA". The record is from RNAcentral. Lineage: Eukaryota; Viridiplantae; Streptophyta; Magnoliopsida; Poales; Poaceae.